UACGGGGGGGGCAAGCGUUGUUCGGAAUUACUGGGCGUAAAGGGCUCGUAGGCGGCCAACUAAGUCCGACGUGAAAUCCCCAGGCUCAACCUGGGAACUGCGUCGGAUACUGGAUGGCUUGAAUUCGGGAGAGGGAUGCAGAAUUCCAGGUGUAGCGGUGAAAUGCGUAGAUAUCUGGAGGAAUACCGGUGGCGAAGACGGCAUCCUGGACCGACAUUGACGCUGAGGAGCGAAAGCUAGGGGAGCAAACGGG
RNAcentral lists this ribosomal RNA (253 nucleotides) under uncultured bacterium. RNAcentral describes it as "partial 16S ribosomal RNA". It matches the Rfam family "Bacterial small subunit ribosomal RNA", at positions 524 to 776 of the family's 1533-position model. The record is from RNAcentral.